This 125-nucleotide microRNA precursor is filed under the name Pelobates cultripes (western spadefoot toad). The record is from RNAcentral. Lineage: Eukaryota; Metazoa; Chordata; Amphibia; Anura; Pelobatidae.
CACACACACACAGCAGUGUGUGUAUGUGUGUAUAUAUGUGUAUGUGUGUAUAUAUAUAUAUAUAUAUAUAUAUACACACAUAUAUAUAUAUACAUAUAUACAUAUAUAUAUGCGGCGUGUGCUUG